RNAcentral lists this long non-coding RNA (799 nucleotides) under Homo sapiens (human). RNAcentral's name for it is "non-protein coding lnc-ETS1-2:1". The record is from RNAcentral. Lineage: Eukaryota; Metazoa; Chordata; Mammalia; Primates; Hominidae.
AAAUUCAUUCCUAAACUUUGUCUGCUUUUUACCCCUAGAUCUUGUGGGAUAUCGUUUUCUUCAGUUGAACUUGAAUGGUUUCCAUUUUGUAUGUCAUCAAGGGUUUGAUGAAGUCAAUCCUUCUUUCAGUUUUGCCCCAUCCUAAUGUCUGCUAUUGGGCAUUCUUAUGUGAUAGUUUGAUGGAGUGUUACCCAGGCUGGAGUGCCAUGGUGUGAUCUUGGCUCCCUGCAACCUCUGCCUCCUGAGUUCAAGUGAUUCUAGCGCCUCAGCCUCCCAAGUAGCUAGGAUUACAGGCACCCGCCACCAGACCCAGCUAAUUUUUGUAGUUUUUAGUAGAGCCAAUGGGGUUUCACCACGUUGGCCAGGCUGGUCUCAAACUCCUGACCUCAAAUGAUCUGCCCCCUUAGGCCUACCAAAGUGCUAGAAUUACAGCCAUGAAGCUCUGCACCCAGCCAAUACUAGCAUUUUGAUAAGAAAACUUAUAAUUUAUUUAGGAAUUCAAAGCAUAUAUAAGAACAGAAUAAUCUUGAAGGUCGAAAGAACAACUUUGAAGAACUUUAUCUUAUUUUCAAUUCAAUAUAAUGCCAUAGUAACGAAGACACAGUUACUAUUGGUAGUAUUGGUGCAAUAUUACAUAAAUGGAUCACUGGAAUUGAAUAAAGAGUCCAGAAAUAAAGCUUCAUAUUUAUAUCUAAUUGGUUUUCGACAAAGUUGUCAACUCAAUAAAGAAAGAAAAUUAUUUUUACCAUAUUUUACGGAAGGACUGUAUUUUCAUUUGUAAAAAUAAAAAUUGUAAUCC